AUUGAACGCUGGCGGCAAGCCUAACACAUGCAAGUCGAACGAGUGGCGGACGGGCGAGUAAUGUAUGGGAAACUGCCUGACGGAGGGGGCGAACUACUGGAAACGGUAGCUAAUACCGCAUACCAUCGGAUGUGCCCAAAUGGGAUUAGCUAGUAGGUGGGGUAAAGGCUCACCAAGGCGACGAUCCCUAGCUGGUCUGAGAGGAUGACCAGCAGAAGUGGAGCUAGGACACGGUCCAGACUCCUACGGGAGGAGGAAGAGGGGAAGAGUGCGCAAUGGGCGGAAGCCUGAUGCAGCAAUGCCGCGUGUAUGAAGAAGGCGUUCGGGUUGUAAAGUACUUUCAGCGGGGAGGCGUGACCCGCAGAAGAAGCACCGGCUAACUCCGUGCCAGCGGCCGCGGUAAUAC
RNAcentral lists this ribosomal RNA (406 nucleotides) under uncultured bacterium. RNAcentral's name for it is "partial 16S ribosomal RNA". It matches the Rfam family "Bacterial small subunit ribosomal RNA", at positions 29 to 526 of the family's 1533-position model. The record is from RNAcentral.